CCUACGGGUGGCAGCAGUGGGGAAUAUUGCACAAUGGGGGAAACCCUGAUGCAGCGACGCCGCGUGAGUGAAGAAGUAUUUCGGUACGUAAAGCUCUAUCAGCAGGGAAGAAAAUGACGGUACCUGACUAAGAAGCCCCGGCUAACUACGUGCCAGCAGCCGCGGUAAUACGUAGGGGGCAAGCGUUAUCCGGAUUUACGGGGUGUAAAGGGAGCGUAGACGGCAGUGCAAGUCUGGAGUGAAAUCCCAUGGCUUAACCAUGGAACUGCUUUGGAAACUGUGCAGCUAGAGUGCAGGAGAGGUAAGCGGAAUUCCUAGUGUAGCGGUGAAAUGCGUAGAUAGUAGGAGGAACACCAGUGGCGAAGGCGGCUUACUGGACUGUAACUGACGUUGAGGCUCGAAAGCGUGGGGAGCAAACAGGAUUAGAUACCCCAGUAGUC
RNAcentral lists this ribosomal RNA (440 nucleotides) under uncultured bacterium. RNAcentral describes it as "partial 16S ribosomal RNA". It matches the Rfam family "Bacterial small subunit ribosomal RNA", at positions 338 to 795 of the family's 1533-position model. The record is from RNAcentral.